This 243-nucleotide ribosomal RNA is filed under the name uncultured bacterium. RNAcentral describes it as "partial 16S ribosomal RNA". It matches the Rfam family "Bacterial small subunit ribosomal RNA", at positions 1258 to 1500 of the family's 1533-position model. The record is from RNAcentral.
AUAUAGAGACCAAAAACCCUAAAAACGGUCUCAGUUCGGAUUGAAGGCUGAAAUUCGCCUUCAUGAAGCUGGAAUUGCUAGUAAUGGCAGGUCAGCAUACUGCCGUGAAUACGUUCCCGGGCCUUGUACACACCGCCCGUCACACCAUGAGAGUUGGGAAUACCCGAAGCCCGUGAGCUAACCGAAAGGGAGCAGCGGUCGAAGGUAGAAUCAAUGAUUGGGGUGAAGUCGUAACAAGGUAAC